CAGUCGCCGCGGGAAUACGAAGGGUGCAAGCGUCACUCGGAAUUACUGGGCGUAAAGCGUGCGUAGGUGGUGGUUUAAGUCCGUUGUGAAAGCCCUGGGCUCAACCUGGGAAUUGCAGUGGAUACUGGGUCACUAGAGUGUGGUAGAGGAUAGUGGAAUUUCCGGUGUAGCAGUGAAAUGCGUAGAGAUCGGAAGGAACAUCUGUGGCGAAGGCGACUAUCUGGGCCAACACUGACACUGAGGCACGAAAGCGUGGGGAGCAAACAGGAUUAGAUACCCCCGUAGUCCCUGUCUCUUAUAC
RNAcentral lists this ribosomal RNA (301 nucleotides) under uncultured bacterium. Its description in RNAcentral is "partial 16S ribosomal RNA". It matches the Rfam family "Bacterial small subunit ribosomal RNA", at positions 509 to 807 of the family's 1533-position model. The record is from RNAcentral.